AGUGAACGCUGGCGGUAGGCCUAACACAUGCAAGUCGAACGGCAGCACAGUAAGAGCUUGCUCUUACGGGUGGCGAGUGGCGGACGGGUGAGGAAUACAUCGGAAUCUACUUUUUCGUGGGGGAUAACGUAGGGAAACUUACGCUAAUACCGCAUACGACCUACGGGUGAAAGCAGGGGACCUUCGGACCUUGCGCGAUUGAAUGAGCCGAUGUCGGAUUAGCUAGUUGGCGGGGUAAAGGCCCACCAAGGCGACGAUCCGUAGCUGGUCUGAGAGGAUGAUCAGCCACACUGGAACUGAGACACGGUCCAGACUCCUACGGGAGGCAGCAGUGGGGAAUAUUGGACAAUGGGCGCAAGCCUGAUCCAGCCAUACCGCGUGGGUGAAGAAGGCCUUUGGGUUGUAAAGCCCUUUUGUUGGGAAAGAAAAGCAGCAGGUUAAUACCCCGCUGUUCUGACGGUACCCAAAGAAUAAGCACCGGCUAACUUCGUG
Molecule: ribosomal RNA, 492 nt
Filed under: uncultured bacterium
Lineage: Bacteria
Description: partial 16S ribosomal RNA
Rfam family: Bacterial small subunit ribosomal RNA
Source: RNAcentral